RNAcentral lists this ribosomal RNA (444 nucleotides) under Triticum aestivum (bread wheat). RNAcentral's name for it is "partial small subunit ribosomal RNA". Lineage: Eukaryota; Viridiplantae; Streptophyta; Magnoliopsida; Poales; Poaceae. The record is from RNAcentral.
CUACAGUUCAAGCUCUGCAAGGUUAGGACUGUGCAAUGUGGACAGAAGGGCAUCCCUUCCCUCAAUACCUACGACAGCCGCACCAUCCGCUAGCCUGACCCUGCCAUCAAACCCAACGACACCAUCAAGAUUGACCUGGAGACCAACAAGAUUGUGGAUUUCAUCAAGUUUGAGGUCGGGAAUUUUGUGAUGGUGACCGGAGGCAGGAACACCGGGCGCAUCGGGGUGAUCAAGAGCAUGAGCAGGGAGACGCACGAGGGCAGCUUUGAGACCAUCCACGUCGAGGAUGCCCUCGAGCAUCAGUUCGCCACCCGCCUGGCCAAUGUCUUCACCAUCGGCAAGGACAGGAAGGCAUGGGUCUCUCUUCCCAAGGGCAAGGGCGUCAAGCUCACCAUCAUCAAAGAGGCGAGGAAGCAAAUUGUCGUGGCUGCUGCUGAGGCUUGA